UUUAGAAUGGCCUCAAUUUGACAUAAGC
This 28-nucleotide non-coding RNA is filed under the name Bombyx mori (domestic silkworm). The record is from RNAcentral. Lineage: Eukaryota; Metazoa; Arthropoda; Insecta; Lepidoptera; Bombycidae.